Molecule: ribosomal RNA, 475 nt
Filed under: uncultured bacterium
Lineage: Bacteria
Description: bacterial SSU rRNA
Rfam family: Bacterial small subunit ribosomal RNA
Source: RNAcentral
AUUGAACGCUGGCGGCAUGCCUUACACAUGCAAGUCGAACGGCAGCGCGGGGCAACCUGGCGGCGAGUGGCGAACGGGUGAGUAAUAUAUCGGAACAUACCCUAGAGUGGGGAUAACGUAGCGAAAGUUACGCUAAUACCGCAUACGCACUAAGGUGGAAAGUGGGGGAUUCGCAAGAACCUCAUGCUCAUGGAGUGGCCGAUAUCUGAUUAGCUAGUUGGUGAGGUAAAGGCUCACCAAGGCGACGAUCAGUAGCUGGUUUGAGAGAACGACCAGCCACACUGGAACUGAGACACGGUCCAGACUCCUACGGGAGGCAGCAGUGGGGAAUUUUGGACAAUGGGCGCAAGCCUGAUCUAGCCAUGCCGCGUGAGCGAUGAAGGCCUUAGGGUUGUAAAGCUCUUUCGUGGGGGAAGAUAAUGACGGUACCCCAAGAAGAAGCCCCGGCUAACUCCGUGCCAGCAGCCGCGGUAAU